UACGGGGGGGGCAAGCGUUGUUCGGAUUAUUGGGCGUAAAGAGCUCGUAGGCGGCUUGUUGCGUCAGCUGUGAAAACCCGCAGCUCAACUGAUGGGCUUGCAGCUGAUACGGGCAGGCUUGAGUUCGGUAGGGGAGACUGGAAUUCCUGGUGUAGCGGUGAAAUGCGCAGAUAUUGGGAGGAACACCAGUGGCGAAGGCGGCUACCUGGACCGGUUCGUGACGCUGAGGCGCGAAAGCGUGGGGAGCAAACAGG
RNAcentral lists this ribosomal RNA (254 nucleotides) under uncultured bacterium. RNAcentral describes it as "partial 16S ribosomal RNA". It matches the Rfam family "Bacterial small subunit ribosomal RNA", at positions 524 to 776 of the family's 1533-position model. The record is from RNAcentral.